GUCGUCGGUCUGUAUAAUCAGACAGGAGGAAAGUCCGGGCAACAUAGGGCAAUCCGCUACCUAACAGGUAGUAGUCAGCAAUGGUUAGUCCGUGUAGAAGAAAAUAACCGCAGAGUUAUCUGUAAGGGUGAGAAGGUGAGGUAAGGGCUCACCAGGCGUAUGGCGACAUACGUGCUGUACACUCCGGAUGUUGAAAGUUCGCGUAUACCGGCGUUCCGUAAGGAAAAGGGCUGCCCGCCCGAGCUGGAGGGUAGAACGAUAGAGACCGAUGGUGACAUCGGUAGUAGAUAAAUGACAAGCGGUCCCGGUUUUGCGGGAUGCACAGAACCCGGCUUAUAGAGCCACUG
RNAcentral lists this RNase P RNA (347 nucleotides) under bovine gut metagenome. RNAcentral describes it as "Bacterial RNase P class A". It matches the Rfam family "Bacterial RNase P class A". Rfam says of the family: Ribonuclease P (RNase P) is a ubiquitous endoribonuclease, found in archaea, bacteria and eukarya as well as chloroplasts and mitochondria. The record is from RNAcentral.